AGUGAACGCUGGCGGUAGGCCUAACACAUGCAAGUCGAACGGCAGCACAGUAAGAGCUUGCUCUUACGGGUGGCGAGUGGCGGACGGGUGAGGAAUACAUCGGAAUCUACUUUUUCGUGGGGGAUAACGUAGGGAAACUUACGCUAAUACCGCAUACGACCUACGGGUGAAAGCAGGGGAUCUUCGGACCUUGCGCGAUUGAAUGAGCCGAUGUCGGAUUAGCUAGUUGGCGGGGUAACGGCCCACCAAGGCGACGAUCCGUAGCUGGUCUGAGAGGAUGAUCAGCCCACCUGGAACUGAGCCACGGGCCAGACCCCUACGGGGGGCAGCAGGGGGGAAUAUUGGCAAAGGGGCGCAAGCCUGAUCCAGCCAUGCCGGGUGGGUGAAGAAGGCCUUCGGGUUGUAAAGCCCUUUUGUUGGGAAAGAAAAGCAGCAGGUUAAAACCCCGCUGUUCUGCCGGUACCCAAAGAAUAAGCACCGGCUACCUGCGU
Molecule: ribosomal RNA, 491 nt
Filed under: uncultured bacterium
Lineage: Bacteria
Description: partial 16S ribosomal RNA
Rfam family: Bacterial small subunit ribosomal RNA
Source: RNAcentral